Molecule: long non-coding RNA, 1093 nt
Organism: Cynoglossus semilaevis (tongue sole)
Lineage: Eukaryota; Metazoa; Chordata; Actinopteri; Pleuronectiformes; Cynoglossidae
Exons: 2
Source: RefSeq, a predicted model, not a curated record
UGCUGACUGUUCUGUACGACUGUCACUUACUCCAAAAAAAAUUCAACUUGAAAUAAAACUAACAUGACAGUCUGAACUACCUUGUUGUUUAGAGGCAGAAAUUACCUUUCAACAGUUCCUGUCACUCACAUCCAGGCACACGGAUGUUCACUGAUGGUGAAAAAGUGCUAGAAAAGAUAAAAAAAAGAAGAAAUUCAAUCUUUUAAAACAUGUUUUAAAGGCAGUGAUUAAAGUUAAGACAAUUACAUUAAAUCAACUUCAUUUGUGUUUCCAUUUUCCUCAUAGUUAAAAAAAACAGGAUUUAAGGUAAAGCUGUGUUAAGUGUGCCCUCUGCUGGAGGACAAAGUAAUUAUUUUUAUGCAUGUUUAAUGGGAAUAUUUAAAGGCUGCUUUUCCUCUAAGUCUUGGCUAUUUAUUCACACUGCUUUGUUGAACAAAAAAACAGUAAAAUACUACAGUAUUACUGUCUGUUAGUAGUAAUUAGCCAAAUAUUUCAAACCUUGGUUUAAAAGUGACAGUAAACAUGAGCACAGUAAACAUGUUUGUGGAUCAAAUACUUUAAAGGUACAUGACAUUUGACGUACUUUUCGUUCACUCUUCGAUCAGGGAGUUUUUUUGUUGUUGUUUAAAUGUACAGAUGAAACACUGUAUUGUAUAUAAGUCAAGUUUUUUCUGUGCGAGUAUUUACUGCUGGUCAGAAGAUGAGAAUGUUUGCUGUGAACAAAUACUGAUACUACAGUAAUAUUAUAUUUACAGUACCUGUCCUGUGAAUCCAGAGCUAAGACUUUACUGUAGGUAAAUUAUUCAGGUGAAAACUUCAGUUAUCUUUCAUGGGUACAGGGUUUAAAGUACUGAGUGUGUAUCAGUACUGGACCAGCUGUGUUUUACGUUUUACUCAGAAACUGUGAGGAAAAAAGUGAAUAACUGAAGAAUAAAGGUACUAUAGAACGGAGCAGAAAUGUCAAAGGUCACCGUGUCUGGUUCUAUAGUACAUUCAAAUGUGAUUCACUUUUUACUUUGAAUCAGAACUUUUGUUUAUUUAUGUCAUGAAAGCCUUUGACAGAUUAAAAAUAAAAUCUAUCAGUGAGUCAUGA